RNAcentral lists this ribosomal RNA (253 nucleotides) under uncultured bacterium. Its description in RNAcentral is "partial 16S ribosomal RNA". It matches the Rfam family "Bacterial small subunit ribosomal RNA", at positions 524 to 776 of the family's 1533-position model. The record is from RNAcentral.
UACGUAGGCAGCAAGCGUUGUUCGGAAUUACUGGGCGUAAAGGGUGCGUAGGCGGGUCUUUAAGUCAGUGGUGAAAACUUCGAGCUUAACUCGAAAACUGCCAUUGAUACUAUUGAUCUUGAAUUUAGUUGAGGUUGGCGGAAUGUGUCGUGUAGCGGUGAAAUGCUUAGAUAUGACACAGAACACCGAUUGCGAAGGCAGCUGGCUAAACUAAAAUUGACGCUGAGGCACGAAAGUGUGGGGAUCAAACAGG